CCUACGGGUGGCAGCAGUGGGGAAUAUUGGACAAUGGGGGGAACCCUGAUCCAGCCAUGCCGCGUGUGUGAAGAAGGCCCUCGGGUUGUAAAGCACUUUCAGUGAGGAAGAACGCCUGGUGGUUAAUAUCCAUCAGGAAAGACAUCACUCACAGAAGAAGCACCGGCUAACUCCGUGCCAGCAGCCGCGGUAAUACGGAGGGUGCGAGCGUUAAUCGGAAUUACUGGGCGUAAAGCGCGCGUAGGUGGCUUGAUAAGCCGGUUGUGAAAGCCCCGGGCUCAACCUGGGAACGGCAUCCGGAACUGUCAAGCUAGAGUGCAGGAGAGGAAGGUAGAAUUCCCGGUGUAGCGGUGAAAUGCGUAGAGAUCGGGAGGAAUACCAGUGGCGAAGGCGGCCUUCUGGACUGACACUGACACUGAGGUGCGAAAGCGUGGGUAGCAAACAGGAUUAGAUACCCUAGUAGUC
Molecule: ribosomal RNA, 465 nt
Filed under: Vreelandella stevensii
Lineage: Bacteria; Pseudomonadati; Pseudomonadota; Gammaproteobacteria; Oceanospirillales; Halomonadaceae
Description: partial 16S ribosomal RNA
Rfam family: Bacterial small subunit ribosomal RNA
Source: RNAcentral